Schizosaccharomyces pombe (fission yeast) is the source of this 539-nucleotide non-coding RNA. The record is from the annotation of a GenBank genome assembly. Lineage: Eukaryota; Fungi; Ascomycota; Schizosaccharomycetes; Schizosaccharomycetales; Schizosaccharomycetaceae.
CUUUUUCCAUCGAAGCCUCAUUUAACUCGACAUAUAACGUUUCCUCCCAAAUUAUUCUUAAUUGCAUCGUCAAUACUCAUUAUACCAUGUUUAGUUUCUACAAUUCCAACUUCUGCAGGCUCCAACCCAUUCACAAAGCUAACUUUCCUUCCUUUGGCAAAUUGCAACAACUCAGAAGGAGUCAAGUUCACCUUUCUACUAGGCUUUGAUACUGCACGUAUGUAGUGAAGAACCGGUUUUCCCUCAAAGUACUUUAAACCCAACCAUAGACGGCGGGUCGCUACAUUUUGCCUAGUGGUGAUUGUGGGUAAAGCAUCGGGUCCAUGAAUAUCUCCGCGUUGAAUCGAGCUUAAAAAUCCUUGAUGAUACAAAACAGCACAUAACUCGAGCACACUGUUACAGUUAGGAACGCUUGCUAACGACUUGCGAGCGCGAAAUGAAUUUUGCAAAUGCGAAAAAACAUAAUGCAAUUGCAUUUCGACUUUUUUAACACAAUCCUAAUCUUUUAUAAGCAGUCCAACAAUAAAAGCCUUUUUUUU